GCCAGACUCCUACGGGAGGCAGCAGUGGGGAAUUUUGGACAAUGGGCGCAAGCCUGAUCCAGCUAUUCCGCGUGUGGGAUGACGGCCCUAUGGGUUGUAAACCUCUUUUGCCAGGGAGCAAAGUGCCGCACGUGUGCGGUUUGGAGAGUACCCGGAGAAAAAGCAUCGGCUAACUCCGUGCCAGCAGCCGCGGUAAUACGGAGGAUGCGAGCGUUAUCCGGAUUUAUUGGGUUUAAAGGGUGCGUAGGCGGACGCUUAAGUCAGCGGUAAAAUUGCGGGGCUCAACCUCGUCGAGCCGUUGAAACUGGGCGCCUUGAGUGGGCGAGAAGUACGCGGAAUGCGUGGUGUAGCGGUGAAAUGCAUAGAUAUCACGCAGAACUCCGAUUGCGAAGGCAGCGUACCGGCGCCCAACUGACGCUGAAGCACGAAGGCGUGGGUAUCGAACAGGAUUAGAUACCCGUGUA
Molecule: ribosomal RNA, 464 nt
Filed under: uncultured bacterium
Lineage: Bacteria
Description: bacterial SSU rRNA
Rfam family: Bacterial small subunit ribosomal RNA
Source: RNAcentral